GAUGAACGCUAGCGGGAGGCUUAACACAUGCAAGUCGAGGGGCAGCACUGAUAGCAAUAUUAGGUGGCGACCGGCGGACGGGUGAGUAACGCGUAUGCAACCUACCCUUUACAGGGGGAUAGCCCGGAGAAAUUCGGAUUAAUACCCCAUAGAUCAGUGAUUCUGCAUGGGAUUACUGGUAAAGCUUCGGCGGUAAAGGAUGGGCAUGCGUCCCAUUAGCUAGUUGGUGGGGUAAAGGCUCACCAAGCCAACGAUCUGUAGCUGGUCUGAGAGGACGACCAGCCACACUGGGACUGAGACACGGCCCAGACUCCUACGGGAGGCAGCAGUGGGGAAUUUUGGACAAUGGGCGAAAGCCUGAUCCAGCCAUUCCGCGUGCAGGAUGAAGGCCUUCGGGUUGUAAACUGCUUUUGGACGGAACGAAAAGCCACUUUCUAAUACAAGGUGGUCAUGACGGUACCGUCAGAAUAAGCACCGGCUAACUACGUG
Molecule: ribosomal RNA, 489 nt
Filed under: uncultured bacterium
Lineage: Bacteria
Description: bacterial SSU rRNA
Rfam family: Bacterial small subunit ribosomal RNA
Source: RNAcentral